UCUUGUAGCUCAGUUGGUAAAGAAUCUGCCUGCAACACAGAAUACCCGGGUUCGAUUCCUGGGUCAGGAA
Molecule: transfer RNA, 70 nt
Filed under: Bos taurus (domestic cattle)
Lineage: Eukaryota; Metazoa; Chordata; Mammalia; Artiodactyla; Bovidae
Also listed under: 1 other name
Rfam family: tRNA
About the family: Transfer RNA (tRNA) molecules are approximately 80 nucleotides in length. Their secondary structure includes four short double-helical elements and three loops (D, anti-codon, and T loops).
Source: Rfam by way of RNAcentral